This is a long non-coding RNA of Megalobrama amblycephala (Wuchang bream), 657 nucleotides long. RefSeq lists it as uncharacterized. The record is from RefSeq and is a predicted model, not a curated record. Lineage: Eukaryota; Metazoa; Chordata; Actinopteri; Cypriniformes; Xenocyprididae. The transcript is spliced from 3 exons.
CAAGGGCAGCCAGUAUUAACGUCUGGAUCUGUGCACAGCUGAAUCAUCAGACUAGGAAACAUCUGCCGUGCAACCCAAUUUGAGAGAAGCCCAUCCCGUGCACUUCCCUCUGUACAGGGUGACCCGUCACCUAUCACACCACCCUCAGGAAAGAGGAAGAGUGGGGAGGUGAAGAGGAAACAUUAAUAGCUCUGUAAGUGCUGCAAAAGCAAGUCCACUUUGAUGCGCUUCCAAAGGAUGAGGACUUGAACUGAUACAGUAAAACAGAGUACCAAGCGCUGAGGAAGCCUCCGGAGCUGAAGUUCAGAUAUAGUAAUGGACGUUUCAUUUCAGACACGCGCUGUAAGCAGCAGACCAAUCACAACAGACUGGAUCAUCUGACCAAUCAGAGGAGUGUAGGCUCUCAGAAAGGAGGGGUUUAGAGAAACAAAAUCCUUUACUAUUUCAAACACUGAAAAAAGAGAUGAUGCUGCAAUUUAUAUCACAACCCUCUACAAUGAGAGUCACAUAUGUGACCAAAUUUCAUGAGACGUAACUAAAAAAAUGUCUUUUAUUAGCCUUUGGCUGAAAGUUUAUCAUUUGCAUGCAUUUUUAAGCCUUGCCAAUUAAAACAUUCAAGCUAUGCUAUUUUACAUUUGAUUACCCAGGUGAAAAGUA